CCCGCCACUAUUCCUGUCUGUCUUGAGUGACAUGAGUAUAUUCCAGUGGAGGCUCAGAUUGACCCGGCUUUAGGAAACAGAGCUGCCCAAACUUAAUGGACAACCCUGUGCCGAAAAGUCUGGAACACCA
Doryrhamphus excisus (bluestripe pipefish) is the source of this 130-nucleotide non-coding RNA. Lineage: Eukaryota; Metazoa; Chordata; Actinopteri; Syngnathiformes; Syngnathidae. The record is from RefSeq and is a predicted model, not a curated record.